CUCCCUCGUUGCUGACCCCUGGUUCGAUAGUACCAAUUAGGCAUCACCUCGCCAAGAACCAACUUCGAUGAAGCGACGGGCGGUGUGUGCAAGGAG
RNAcentral lists this ribosomal RNA (96 nucleotides) under uncultured archaeon. RNAcentral's name for it is "partial 16S ribosomal RNA". The record is from RNAcentral.